AGAGUUUGAUCCUGGCUCGAGGAGAACGCUGGCGGCGUGCUUAACACAUGCAAGUCGAACGGAAAGGCCCUGCUUUUGUGGGGUGCUCGAGUGGCGAACGGGUGAGUAACACGUGAGUAACCUGCCCUUGACUUUGGGAUAACUUCAGGAAACUGGGGCUAAUACCGGAUAGGAGCUCCUGCUGCAUGGUGGGGGUUGGAAAGUUUCGGCGGUUGGGGAUGGACUCGCGGCUUAUCAGCUUGUUGGUGGGGUAGUGGCUUACCAAGGCUUCGACGGGUAGCCGGCCUGAGAGGGUGACCGGCCACAUUGGGACUGAGAUACGGCCCAGACUCCUACGGGAGGCAGCAGUGGGGAAUAUUGCACAAUGGGCGGAAGCCUGAUGCAGCAACGCCGCGUGCGGGAUGACGGCCUUCGGGUUGUAAACCGCUUUCGCCUGUGACGAAGCGUGAGUGACGGUAAUGGGUAAAGAAGCACCGGCUAACUACGUG
RNAcentral lists this ribosomal RNA (488 nucleotides) under uncultured bacterium. Its description in RNAcentral is "bacterial SSU rRNA". It matches the Rfam family "Bacterial small subunit ribosomal RNA", at positions 8 to 507 of the family's 1533-position model. The record is from RNAcentral.